CGAGGGCGGGCACAUCAAAGGCCUUGGGUGUUGAUUUUCGCGCACGUCUGCUAUAUUGCGCUGAGGCAAUGGCCGCCCAGAACAGAUGUUGUGUAAACGUCCACGUGUCGACGCUUCACGUCAGGGCUGUUGUCAAAGAGAUGUGCACUUGAUGAGCUCAGCGGUGGAUUCACGUCCGAGACGCACAAUCUGGGUAAAUCUGUCAAAUUCUGGACACGAACUAUAUAAUGAAACGCCCGGACCAAGGUCUCUGUUAUGUAAUACACUGUCUAAAUGUU
This is a long non-coding RNA of Haliotis rubra (blacklip abalone), 278 nucleotides long. RefSeq lists it as uncharacterized. NCBI's taxonomy places the organism in Eukaryota, Metazoa, Mollusca, Gastropoda, Lepetellida, Haliotidae. The record is from RefSeq and is a predicted model, not a curated record. The transcript has 2 exons.